UAACAAUUUGGGUAUCACAAAUAUAAAAUUAGAAUGAUACAGAAAAGAUUAGCAUGGUCCCUGUGCAAGGUGGGUCUAAUUUUUUAUUUCAUUGUUCCACUUGUG
Small nuclear RNA from Mus pahari (shrew mouse), 105 nucleotides. NCBI's taxonomy places the organism in Eukaryota, Metazoa, Chordata, Mammalia, Rodentia, Muridae. The record is from RefSeq and is a predicted model, not a curated record.